GUGCUCAGAGAGCAGCAGCUCCUGUGAGGCACAGCCCUGGCUGGCACCUGCAGCACCUGCUGAAAGGAAGGACAAUAUUGCUUAGGGAUGACUCACAGGAACCUUAAACCUACUCUGUUACAAGCAGGAGUUGCAGCUUCCUGAGGCAGACAAACAUGAUCCCUGUGUACCAAGUUCCACCUCAGGCUUUUGGCCUUUUCUGAGCACCUGGCAAUGCCCCAAGCCUGUGUCUCAUUCUGGGGUGCACUGGCCUAUCUCUGCUUCACCUGAGUGUGUUUUGCUUAAGCAGUGCUGUUCCUCACAACAGUGGGUUUUGCUGGCUUACAGAACAAACCUGCACAGGAGAGAGGAGGAGUGAGAGGUAAAGUGAAUCUGAGAGCUUUGGUCACUGUUCUGGAUUUUUGUUUGCCAUUAGCAAUUUCGGAAAGAUGCUCAAGGGCUGGCAGGGAGAUUUUGCUCCCCAGGAAUGAGGCAUGAGAGAUCUUCCUUUGAAGUCUUUGGGCAGGAAGAAAGCAAGUCUAUCCUUCUGCCUCCUGUUUUGUUUGUGGGGUGAAAUGUGAUCCAGAGUGACCAGAGACAGAGACAGGUGGGCAGUGUCAGAGGUCCAAAAGAAGAGGCUAAUAAAAAAUCAGAUCCUAAGUCUGAAAUGUUUUUUACACAUGUGCCAAGCUUUAUAAAAAGCCUGUCCUUCAUUAGCUAUUUUAAAACACAUUAGAAAAAUGAAGUGACUCUCAUCUGCCAGUUGGUGAGUUUAAUUCUUUCUGUAUACAAGCAAUUUCACUGAUUUAAGGUAGUGCCAAAGAGUAUUUGAGAUUUUAGUGGAACCGAUGUGUCUCUUUGUGUCCUAUUGAAAGAAUUAUGAAUACUUGAAUGAGCAAAUAAUGCAAAGGACUGAAGUUGUCAUGGUAUUUAACACAAGAAAGGAGACCUAGUUACAAUAUGGGUUUUUUGCAUACCUGGUCUGUCACUGAACAGCAAAUAUGUACAGAACAAAUUGAUUU
This is a non-coding RNA of Sturnus vulgaris (Common starling), 1001 nucleotides long. Lineage: Eukaryota; Metazoa; Chordata; Aves; Passeriformes; Sturnidae. The record is from RefSeq and is a predicted model, not a curated record.